GCUCAGGACGAACGCUGGCGGCGUGCUUAACACAUGCAAGUCGAACGAUGAACCAGGAGCUUGCUCUUGGGGAUUAGUGGCGAACGGGUGAGUAACACGUGAGUAACCUGCCCUUGACUCUGGGAUAAGCGUUGGAAACGACGUCUAAUACCGGAUACGAGCUUCCACCGCAUGGUGAGUUGCUGGAAAGAAUUUUGGUCAAGGAUGGACUCGCGGCCUAUCAGCUUGUUGGUGAGGUAACGGCUCACCAAGGCGACGACGGGUAGCCGGCCUGAGAGGGUGACCGGCCACACUGGGACUGAGACACGGCCCAGACUCCUACGGGAGGCAGCAGUGGGGAAUAUUGCACAAUGGGCGAAAGCCUGAUGCAGCAACGCCGCGUGAGGGACGACGGCCUUCGGGUUGUAAACCUCUUUUAGCAGGGAAGAAGCGAAAGUGACGGUACCUGCAGAAAAAGCACCGGCUAACUACGUGCCAGCAGCCGCGGUAAUACGUAGGGUGCAAGCGUUGUCCGGGAUUAUUGGGCGUAAGAGCUCGUAGGCGGUUUGUCGCGUCUGCUGUGAAAUCCCGAGGCUCAACCUCGGGUCUGCAGUGGGUACGGGCAGACUAGAGUGCGGUAGGGGAGAUUGGAAUUCCUGGUGUAGCGGUGGAAUGCGCAGAUAUCAGGAGGAACACCGAUGGCGAAGGCAGAUCUCUGGGCCGCUACUGACGCUGAGGAGCGAAAGGGUGGGGAGCAAACAGGCUUAGAUACCCUGGUAGUCCACCCCGUAAACGUUGGGCGCUAGAUGUGGGGACCAUUCCACGGUUUCCGUGUCGUAGCUAACGCAUUAAGCGCCCCGCCUGGGGAGUACGGCCGCAAGGCUAAAACUCAAAGGAAUUGACGGGGGCCCGCACAAGCGGCGGAGCAUGCGGAUUAAUUCGAUGCAACGCGAAGAACCUUACCAAGGCUUGACAUAUACGAGAACGGGCCAGAAAUGGUCAACUCUUUGGACACUCGUAAACAGGUGGUGCAUGGUUGUCGUCAGCUCGUGUCGUGAGAUGUUGGGUUAAGUCCCGCAACGAGCGCAACCCUCGUUCUAUGUUGCCAGCACGUUAUGGUGGGAACUCAUGGGAUACUGCCGGGGUCAACUCGGAGGAAGGUGGGGACGACGUCAAAUCAUCAUGCCCCUUAUGUCUUGGGCUUCACGCAUGCUACAAUGGCCAGUACAAAGGGCUGCAAUACCGUAAGGUGGAGCGAAUCCCAAAAAGCUGGUCCCAGUUCGGAUUGAGGUCUGCAACUCGACCUCAUGAAGUCGGAGUCGCUAGUAAUCGCAGAUCAGCAACGCUGCGGUGAAUACGUUCCCGGGCCUUGUACACACCGCCCGUCAAGUCAUGAAAGUCGGUAACACCCGAAGCCAGUGGCCUAACCGCAAGGAUGGAGCUGUCUAANUGGGAUCGGUAAUUAGGACUA
RNAcentral lists this ribosomal RNA (1450 nucleotides) under Plantibacter sp. SPE-06. RNAcentral's name for it is "bacterial SSU rRNA". It matches the Rfam family "Bacterial small subunit ribosomal RNA". The record is from RNAcentral. Lineage: Bacteria; Bacillati; Actinomycetota; Actinomycetes; Micrococcales; Microbacteriaceae.